GGGAGUUUGUAUUAGAAAUAAGAGAUUGAGAUUAUAAGUUAAGGAAUUGUGGUUUUUAAAUUUGGGGUUUGGAAUGGAAAGAAUAGUUUGAGGUUAAAGGGAAGAUGAGUUUGAGGUUUGGAAUAUAUGAAGUAGAAGAUAAGGAAGAUGGGGUUUGGGGUUUCGGAUUUUAGGGAUUUAAACAUAAUCUUCGUAAUUUCCUAGUAAACUAACGAGGAAAUAACGACGAAAAUAACGCGGGACUCGUUAAUUCCACGUAAGCACAAUUCGUCGUAAAUACCUCGUAAUAGGAAAACGCGGGCCUCGCUAUUUCCCCGUGAAUAAUAACACCGCCUUGCUAAUUCCUCGUAAAUGAACGACCAAUAAAAAAGAAGAGAAGGAAGAUACUGGAAUCAUAGGAGGGAAGAAACAAGGCGAGACCUACAUAAGUCUAGCCUUGUCUCCGCCCACAUGUGUUCCCGUAUCUUUCUCUCCUUCUUUUUUUCAAAUCUUUCUAAUUUGAGAAGCAAACUGGUGAGUAAUUA
Molecule: long non-coding RNA, 524 nt
Filed under: Brassica napus (rape)
Lineage: Eukaryota; Viridiplantae; Streptophyta; Magnoliopsida; Brassicales; Brassicaceae
Description: long non-coding RNA (BNAP_LNC022567)
Source: RNAcentral